Molecule: non-coding RNA, 1228 nt
Organism: Plutella xylostella (diamondback moth)
Lineage: Eukaryota; Metazoa; Arthropoda; Insecta; Lepidoptera; Plutellidae
Source: RefSeq, a predicted model, not a curated record
AUAAAUAACUCUAGAGUUACAUAUGGUAUGUUUUUUACUAAAUAGCAUGACUCCACUUUUAUUAGGACUUAUGUUCAACUUGAGUUUUCCAAAAUAGAAAGAAUGGACCUGUUCAAGGGCAUCAUUUAAGUUAUUUACAGCUAUAUUAACAUUUCUAUUUACAGUGUAUAUUAACAAAUCAUCGGCAAACUGCAAAAAUUUUACAUUUGUUAGGAUAUGACCUGGAAUGCCUAUUUCGGACAGGAUUUGUAUUAGUACAGAUGGAUUAACAUUAUCGAAGGCACCUUGGACAUCAAGAAAUGCACAAACAGUUGCUGAGUGACCAUGAAAGGAAUUCUUAAUGUCUUCUACAAGAGAAGUGAAACUUUCUGCAGCACUACGCCCCUUUCGAAAUCCAAAUUGUUGUUCAGGAGGAGAUUGAGGUGCAUAUUUAUCCAGAAAAGAGGGGAUCCACUCAUCAUUUUUGGGUGUUUUGGAUAAGAACUUCAACCAGUCAGCUUUGCUGUACACAAAACGAUCAAUGGGACUACCUAUUUCAUAUUUAUGUACUGAAGUCUGUAUAUCAAUAAUAGUGGGAAAGUGAUAGCUGCCCAUGGAGUCAUCAUGAACUCUCCAGUGGCAGAGUGAAGCUAAGGAUGGACUUAUGCAGGAUAUAUCUAUUGCUGAGGGAUUUUUAUUAGGGCUACCUACUGUGGUUGGAGUUCCAGUAUUUAUAAUACAUAAGUCGUAUACAUCUAUAAUAUUGUAUAUCUCACUACCUCUGGAGUUAGUGGAAAGGCAACCAAAGGCAACAUGAUGUGCAUUAAGGUCGCCUGAUAGCAUAAUAGGUUUAGGUAAAUCAUUUAAAAUUUGCUUUAAUCUUCUUCCUUGAAACCUACGUUGGUUGUUAUUAGUAGGUGGACUGUAUGCGCAUAAUAAUGUCAGAUUACCAGCAUUAGUUGAUAAGAUUAUAGCCGUGGUUUGCAAGAAUUCAUAAAAGGGUGUGGGAGAAACUGUAUAUUUUAAAUGGUUUUUUACUAAUAUACCUACACCACAUCGUCCGUCCUUACCGUUUUGGUAGACGAAGUUGUAGCUGGGUAUAUUAAAAGUAUUUUUAUCUCUAAGCCAGGUCUCAUUUAAUAGACAAAUAUCAAUGUCGUUGUCAUAUAAAUAUUUUAUAAACAAUGGUUUUUUGUUCAUAGCGCCCUCUAUAUUAUAUUGUGAUAUUCUAAUAAAAUCUUUAUUCAUU